Molecule: long non-coding RNA, 1004 nt
Organism: Capsicum annuum
Lineage: Eukaryota; Viridiplantae; Streptophyta; Magnoliopsida; Solanales; Solanaceae
Exons: 2
Source: RefSeq, a predicted model, not a curated record
UUUAUCAAAGGUUGAUACAUUAAAUGCUUUUUCACUUGCCUCUUUCCUUCUGAAAAAAAAGUAUGACUCACGCACAUCUCAUAUCCCAAAAAAUCAGUAUGCAGUCUCAAUCCCAUCUUUCCUAAAACUUACAAUAAUGGCUGCCCCCUUCUCCUCCUUCCUCUUCGUUCUUUCUCUCUUUCCCCCAAACAGAAAUGGCUAACAGCCAUAGCCGCAGGUAGCUUAGCACCUCACCUGCACGAUAAUCCCACCAAAAUAGACCCUCCAGCCUACGAAUCCUUCAAGAACAGAAAAAUAGUCCCCUAAUCCGUACAACAACGAAAAAAAGAGUCAAAAUCGCCAUUAAUAGCCAGGAAAAACAAGAGAUUUGUUUCAGAAUUUCGAAUCAAUUUCAAACCAAGUUUUUUCAUCACAUUUUAUUUAAAUCGAAUUCCGAAUUCGGACUUCCAAGUUCGGAUUAACCUGUAAAUAUGGGUCUUUCGUUACUAUGUGGGGCAGAAGCAAAAAAUGCAAGAAAAUUGGAAGAGCAGAAGAUCUGUGAGGAAAAAAAAGGGUAAGAGUUGAGAAUUUGUUCUUUUAAAAUUGGGAAAUUUAGAAAAUUGCAAGUUGAAAGACUUGUGAAUCAUCAAAAGAAAAAUCUUCAAAGCAAGUAGUAGGUAUUGUAAGUUUUUAUUCGGUUUUCAACCAAAAUUUGAGUUCCCGGAGUCCAAGUUCUUCACAAAAUAUUUGACGGAAGCCUCACGUUUGCUGCCCCAAAAAAGGGAGUUGGAGUUCCAAAAUGGAACUCACUUUUUGACCCAAGCAUCGGGUCAAUAGCUACUAGGAUUAUGAGAGCUUCGGAGUCCCGCAGGAGCCAAAGCUCCUAACCCAAAUUUAUUAUCCUCUAUUACCUCUCAAUUUAAUUUAUAUUUUUAUGUUGAAUUUUAUUUUUAAGUACUAACUCUUGUUUGUUAAGUUUAUUUACGAUCGCUUAAUUUAAUUAUCGAAUUUGUUUUACUUUGUUA